Agrilus planipennis (emerald ash borer) is the source of this 45-nucleotide non-coding RNA. NCBI's taxonomy places the organism in Eukaryota, Metazoa, Arthropoda, Insecta, Coleoptera, Buprestidae. The record is from Rfam.
AAACCGGUUCUUAUCAGAACCACAAUUUUUGAUAGUCAUAAAACG